Micropterus dolomieu (smallmouth bass) is the source of this 1131-nucleotide long non-coding RNA. RefSeq lists it as uncharacterized. Lineage: Eukaryota; Metazoa; Chordata; Actinopteri; Centrarchiformes; Centrarchidae. The transcript has 4 exons. The record is from RefSeq and is a predicted model, not a curated record.
GUUCAUCUCGACGGCUGUAGUUCCGUGUUCAUCUCGACGGCUGUAGUUCUGUGUUUAUUUAGACGGCUGUAGUUCCGUGUUCAUCUCGACGGCUGUAGUUCCGUGUUCAUCUCGACGGCUGUAGUUCCGUGUUCAUCUCGACGGCUGUAGUUCCGUGUUCAUCUCGACGGCUGUAGUUCCGUGUUCAUCUCGACGGCUGUAGUUCCGUGUUCAUCUCGACGGCUGUAGUUCCGUGUUCAUCUCCACGGCUGUAGUUCCGUGUUCAUCUCCACGGCUGUAGUUCCGUGUUCAUCUCCACGGCUGUAGUUCCGUGUUCAUCUCCACGGCUGUAGUUCCGUGUUAUUAAAAUUUACGCCUGUGUGAACGCCUCUACGUAGAAAUGAAGGUGAAGUCAAUUACAAACACAAAUGAAAUGGCAGCAUCAUCACCUCUUAAUUCAUCCAAUUGAAGAUAACAUGAACUCACUUAAAUAAAAAUAUGGAAACUUUGUAAAUGUGUUAAAAUGUUUUACUUUGUGUUACAGAGACGUCUCGUUGUCAGGCCAACAGCAGGAUGAUGUUCAACUACUGAAUCCCUCUGAACCCUGAACACAACAGGGAGUGGUGAUGCCGCAGUGGUUAAGAUAUGUGCCUUUGGUGUGAGAGACCUGGUUUCAAUUCCUAGUGCAACACUUCACCAUUGUGCCCCAGAUGCUUAACUCCUUGUUUCUCCUUUUUGACAUAUAUAGCAAUUGGAAGUUACUUUGGAUAAAAGCAUCAGCUAAAUCAAAUUCUUUGGAGAGAAAACCACAACACUGCCGGCCACUCGCAGAGGAAGGAGGAGGCUGUUACAUGAACAUGAAGUGAUCAGAGCGCAGAUCUCAUUUCACCAAGUGUCAGGAUGGAGGGAACUAUUCUUCUGUGGCUGCUCUUUCUGACGUCACUGCUGAGCUGCACAACAAACCAGGCUCUUGCAGCCUCUCUGACUGUGAGUCCCAGCAGCUCUCAGCUGUUUGAAGAUAAAUCUGUCUCUCUGAGAUGUGAUGAGGACGACAGCUCUGCUGGAUGGACGCUGAGGAGGAACACAACCAGACGACAGAUGACUCAGUGUGGAGCUGGCUGGGGAAGAUCAGCUGGUUCUUCCUGUAGCAUC